This is a long non-coding RNA of Mastomys coucha (southern multimammate mouse), 608 nucleotides long. RefSeq lists it as uncharacterized. NCBI's taxonomy places the organism in Eukaryota, Metazoa, Chordata, Mammalia, Rodentia, Muridae. The record is from RefSeq and is a predicted model, not a curated record. The transcript has 2 exons.
CGGGUGUGUAAGAGGCACGGGGCCACGUGCCAUGAAGCUUGAGCCUUGGAAUCAAGUGACCUGGAUUUCAUGCCUGCUGCCAGGAUACAAGUAUGGAUUCAUCAGCCAGAAUGUUUACUCUGGUCUGGUCUACUCCAGGCAAAUCAGAGACACCCCCCCUCAAUAUUUCUAAUACAGCACUGGAGCUCUCAUUUUAGAAAGGAGAAGACAGAAGGAUAAAGAUGAGAGCCUAGAAGAGAGAAGGCAGGUGCAGAAGAGCAUUACAGCCUCUCUCCCUGGGCCUGACCUCCAGCACAGCAUGGCUGCCAUCGCAAGCCUGGACAUUGUUCUCCUGUUAAGGAUGAGGAUGUGGAGAGGCUAAAGCAUCUGCCCAGGUUCAGAUGGCUGGUUGGUGACAAUGAUAUUUUCUCUGCUUAACUCGGGGCCAGUAUCAAAGUGAAGUUUCAAGUUGACCUCCCUACAGGGUUCUGUCAAGGGUGAAGCACAUGGCUAUUCUCUUUCUCCCUCUGUUCUUUAAGGGGCUGAAGAAUGGCUAGGUUUAGACUUCAGCUCUAGUGUCCUUUCCUGUUGGUAAGUUUGGUUUCUAAAUAAAUAAUUAUCCUGUCCAC